This is a long non-coding RNA of Protobothrops mucrosquamatus (brown spotted pit viper), 353 nucleotides long. RefSeq lists it as uncharacterized. The record is from RefSeq and is a predicted model, not a curated record. The transcript is spliced from 3 exons. Lineage: Eukaryota; Metazoa; Chordata; Lepidosauria; Squamata; Viperidae.
UUAAUGACAUGUGUGGUAACUUCCACUUCUAUUUCUCCAAGGUUUGGCAUAUGCACUCCUAGCAGGGCUGCCUCCAGUCCAUGGUUUGUAUUCAGCCUUCUAUCCAGUUCUGCUGUAUUUCAUAUUUGGGACAUCCAGACACAUCUCUGUUGGUCCAUUUGCUGUCAUUUCUGUGAUGUUGGGAAGUAUGACAGAGUCACUAGAACCAAAUGGAAAAUAUCUGGAAGUGAUCAUUGGCACCAAUAAAACAUUUGUCAAUGAGACCCGGAGGGAUGCAGCCCGAGUUGAGCUGGUAGCUGCAGUCACCUGCUUAAUGGGUCUGUUCCAGGUUGCCCUUGGCCUGCUGCAGUUUG